RNAcentral lists this ribosomal RNA (2920 nucleotides) under Bacillus anthracis (anthrax bacterium). RNAcentral's name for it is "23S ribosomal RNA". It matches the Rfam family "Bacterial large subunit ribosomal RNA". The record is from RNAcentral. Lineage: Bacteria; Bacillati; Bacillota; Bacilli; Caryophanales; Bacillaceae.
GGUUAAGUUAGAAAGGGCGCACGGUGGAUGCCUUGACACUAGGAGUCGAUGAAGGACGGGACUAACGCCGAUAUGCUUCGGGGAGCUGUAAGUAAGCUUUGAUCCGAAGAUUUCCGAAUGGGGAAACCCACCAUACGUAAUGGUAUGGUAUCCUUAUCUGAAUACAUAGGGUAAGGAAGACAGACCCAGGGAACUGAAACAUCUAAGUACCUGGAGGAAGAGAAAGCAAAUGCGAUUUCCUGAGUAGCGGCGAGCGAAACGGAACAUAGCCCAAACCAAGAGGCUUUGCUCUUGGGGUUGUAGGACAUUCUAUACGGAGUUACAAAGGAACGAGGUAGACGAAGCGACCUGGAAAGGUCCGUCGUAGAGGGUAACAACCCCGUAGUCGAAACUUCGUUCUCUCUUGAAUGUAUCCUGAGUACGGCGGAACACGUGAAAUUCCGUCGGAAUCUGGGAGGACCAUCUCCCAAGGCUAAAUACUCCCUAGUGAUCGAUAGUGAACCAGUACCGUGAGGGAAAGGUGAAAAGCACCCCGGAAGGGGAGUGAAAGAGAUCCUGAAACCGUGUGCCUACAAAUAGUCAGAGCCCGUUAACGGGUGAUGGCGUGCCUUUUGUAGAAUGAACCGGCGAGUUACGAUCCCGUGCGAGGUUAAGCUGAAGAGGCGGAGCCGCAGCGAAAGCGAGUCUGAAUAGGGCGUUUAGUACGUGGUCGUAGACCCGAAACCAGGUGAUCUACCCAUGUCCAGGGUGAAGUUCAGGUAACACUGAAUGGAGGCCCGAACCCACGCACGUUGAAAAGUGCGGGGAUGAGGUGUGGGUAGCGGAGAAAUUCCAAUCGAACCUGGAGAUAGCUGGUUCUCCCCGAAAUAGCUUUAGGGCUAGCCUUAAGUGUAAGAGUCUUGGAGGUAGAGCACUGAUUGGACUAGGGGUCCUCAUCGGAUUACCGAAUUCAGUCAAACUCCGAAUGCCAAUGACUUAUCCUUAGGAGUCAGACUGCGAGUGAUAAGAUCCGUAGUCAAAAGGGAAACAGCCCAGACCGCCAGCUAAGGUCCCAAAGUGUGUAUUAAGUGGAAAAGGAUGUGGAGUUGCUUAGACAACUAGGAUGUUGGCUUAGAAGCAGCCACCAUUUAAAGAGUGCGUAAUAGCUCACUAGUCGAGUGACUCUGCGCCGAAAAUGUACCGGGGCUAAAUACACCACCGAAGCUGCGGAUUGAUACCAAUGGUAUCAGUGGUAGGGGAGCGUUCUAAGGACAGUGAAGUCAGACCGGAAGGACUGGUGGAGUGCUUAGAAGUGAGAAUGCCGGUAUGAGUAGCGAAAGACGGGUGAGAAUCCCGUCCACCGAAUGCCUAAGGUUUCCUGAGGAAGGCUCGUCCGCUCAGGGUUAGUCAGGACCUAAGCCGAGGCCGACAGGCGUAGGCGAUGGACAACAGGUUGAUAUUCCUGUACCACCUCUUUAUCGUUUGAGCAAUGGAGGGACGCAGAAGGAUAGAAGAAGCGUGCGAUUGGUUGUGCACGUCCAAGCAGUUAGGCUGAUAAGUAGGCAAAUCCGCUUAUCGUGAAGGCUGAGCUGUGAUGGGGAAGCUCCUUAUGGAGCGAAGUCUUUGAUUCCCCGCUGCCAAGAAAAGCUUCUAGCGAGAUAAAAGGUGCCUGUACCGCAAACCGACACAGGUAGGCGAGGAGAGAAUCCUAAGGUGUGCGAGAGAACUCUGGUUAAGGAACUCGGCAAAAUGACCCCGUAACUUCGGGAGAAGGGGUGCUUUCUUAACGGAAAGCCGCAGUGAAUAGGCCCAAGCGACUGUUUAGCAAAACACAGCUCUCUGCGAAGCCGUAAGGCGAAGUAUAGGGGGUGACACCUGCCCGGUGCUGGAAGGUUAAGGAGAGGGGUUAGCGUAAGCGAAGCUCUGAACUGAAGCCCCAGUAAACGGCGGCCGUAACUAUAACGGUCCUAAGGUAGCGAAAUUCCUUGUCGGGUAAGUUCCGACCCGCACGAAAGGUGUAACGAUUUGGGCACUGUCUCAACCAGAGACUCGGUGAAAUUAUAGUACCUGUGAAGAUGCAGGUUACCCGCGACAGGACGGAAAGACCCCGUGGAGCUUUACUGUAGCCUGAUAUUGAAUUUUGGUACAGUUUGUACAGGAUAGGCGGGAGCCUUUGAAACCGGAGCGCUAGCUUCGGUGGAGGGCUGGUGGGAUACCGCCCUGACUGUAUUGAAAUUCUAACCUACGGGUCUUAUCGACCCGGGAGACAGUGUCAGGUGGGCAGUUUGACUGGGGCGGUCGCCUCCUAAAGUGUAACGGAGGCGCCCAAAGGUUCCCUCAGAAUGGUUGGAAAUCAUUCGUAGAGUGCAAAGGCAUAAGGGAGCUUGACUGCGAGACCUACAAGUCGAGCAGGGACGAAAGUCGGGCUUAGUGAUCCGGUGGUUCCGCAUGGAAGGGCCAUCGCUCAACGGAUAAAAGCUACCCCGGGGAUAACAGGCUUAUCUCCCCCAAGAGUCCACAUCGACGGGGAGGUUUGGCACCUCGAUGUCGGCUCAUCGCAUCCUGGGGCUGUAGUCGGUCCCAAGGGUUGGGCUGUUCGCCCAUUAAAGCGGUACGCGAGCUGGGUUCAGAACGUCGUGAGACAGUUCGGUCCCUAUCCGUCGUGGGCGUAGGAAAUUUGAGAGGAGCUGUCCUUAGUACGAGAGGACCGGGAUGGACGCACCGCUGGUGUACCAGUUGUUCUGCCAAGGGCAUAGCUGGGUAGCUAUGUGCGGAAGGGAUAAGUGCUGAAAGCAUCUAAGCAUGAAGCCCCCCUCAAGAUGAGAUUUCCCAUAGCGUAAGCUAGUAAGAUCCCUGAAAGAUGAUCAGGUUGAUAGGUUCGAGGUGGAAGCAUGGUGACAUGUGGAGCUGACGAAUACUAAUAGAUCGAGGACUUAACCAU